GAUGAACGCUAGCGGCGGGCUUAAUACAUGCAAGUCAAGGGGUAGCAAUACACCGGCGUACGGGUGCGUAACGCGUAUGGAACCUGCCCUUAUCUGGGGGAUAACUCGGGGAAACUCGAGCUAAUACCGCAUAAGAUAGUAGAAUGGCAUCAUUCAGCUAUUAAAGAUUUAUCGGAUAAGGAUGGCCAUGCGUAAGAUUAGAUAGUUGGUGGGGUAACGGCUCACCAAGGCUACGAUCUUUAGGGGCUCUGAGAGGGGAAUCCCCCACACUGGCACUGGGAUACGGGCCAGACUCCUACGGGAGGCAGCAGUAGGGAAUAUUGGGCAAUGGGCGGAAGCCUGACCCAGCCACGCCGCGUGCAGGAAGAAGGCCCUCUGGGUUGUAAACUGCUUUUGAUUGGGAAGAAAGCAUCUCAUGCGUGGGAUUUUGACGGUACCAAUCGAAUAAGCCACGGCUAACUACGUGCCAGCCGCCGCGGUAA
Molecule: ribosomal RNA, 482 nt
Filed under: uncultured bacterium
Lineage: Bacteria
Description: partial 16S ribosomal RNA
Rfam family: Bacterial small subunit ribosomal RNA
Source: RNAcentral